This 851-nucleotide ribosomal RNA is filed under the name Arcicella rosea. RNAcentral's name for it is "bacterial SSU rRNA". It matches the Rfam family "Bacterial small subunit ribosomal RNA", at positions 9 to 873 of the family's 1533-position model. Lineage: Bacteria; Pseudomonadati; Bacteroidota; Cytophagia; Cytophagales; Flectobacillaceae. The record is from RNAcentral.
AGAGUUUGGAUCUGGCUCAGGAUGAACGCUAGCGGCAGGCCUAAUACAUGCAAGUCGAACGGUGAUAGUGAUAUCAUAGUGGCGCACGGGUGCGUAACACGUAUGCAACCUACCUUAUACUUAGGGAUAGCCUUUGGAAACGGAGAUUAAUACCUAAUAGUACAUUUGACUGGCAUCGGUUAACUGUUAAAGAUUUAUUGGUAUAAGAUGGGCAUGCGUCCAAUUAGUUAGUUGGUGAGGUAAUGGCUCACCAAGACGAUGAUUGGUAGGGGAACUGAGAGGUUAAUCCCCCACACUGGCACUGAGAUACGGGCCAGACUCCUACGGGAGGCAGCAGUAGGGAAUAUUGGGCAAUGGAGGGAACUCUGACCCAGCCAUGCCGCGUGCAGGAUGAAGGCGUUAUGCGUUGUAAACUGCUUUUAUAUAGGAAGAAAUAGUCCUUGCGAGGAAAGUUGACGGUACUAUAUGAAUAAGCACCGGCUAACUCCGUGCCAGCAGCCGCGGUAAUACGGAGGGUGCAAGCGUUGUCCGGAUUUAUUGGGUUUAAAGGGUGCGUAGGCGGUUUAUUAAGUCAGUGGUGAAAGACGGUCGCUCAACGAUUGCAGUGCCAUUGAUACUGGUAGACUUGAGUAUGAUUGAGGUAGCUGGAAUGGAUAGUGUAGCGGUGAAAUGCAUAGAUAUUAUCCAGAACACCAAUUGCGUAGGCAAGUUACUAAGUCAUACUGACGCGAGCACGAAAUGUGGGUAUCAAACAGGAUUAGAUACCCUGGUAGUCCACACUGUAAACGAUGAUAACUAACUGUUGGCUUUCGGGUCAGUGGUACAGAGAAAUCGUUAAGUUAUCCACCUGG